This 64-nucleotide non-coding RNA is filed under the name Aeromicrobium marinum. The record is from RNAcentral. RNAcentral also lists the same sequence under 1 other name. Lineage: Bacteria; Bacillati; Actinomycetota; Actinomycetes; Propionibacteriales; Nocardioidaceae.
ACGGUGCGAACGGCGCCGCCGGACGAGGACGACCCGUACCCGGACAGCGACAAGACGGGCCGCG